This 670-nucleotide ribosomal RNA is filed under the name Anthracoidea lasiocarpae. RNAcentral describes it as "LSU rRNA". It matches the Rfam family "Eukaryotic large subunit ribosomal RNA", at positions 79 to 651 of the family's 3401-position model. The record is from RNAcentral. Lineage: Eukaryota; Fungi; Basidiomycota; Ustilaginomycetes; Ustilaginales; Anthracoideaceae.
CCUAGUAACGGCGAGUGAAGAGGGAUGAGCCCAAGAUUGAAAGCUGGCGUCGUGACUGGCGUUCCGCAUUGUAAUCUCAAGAAGCGUUUAUCCGCUACGGACCAGGUCAAAGUCUCUUGGAAAGGAGCAUCAUGGAGGGUGAAAAUCCCGUGUGUGACCUGGAGCCACCGUAGUACUGCGAUGCGUUUUUUCUCAGAGUCGAGUUGUUUGGGAAUGCAGCUCAAAAUGGGUGGUAAAUGCCAUCUAAGGCUAAAUACAGGGGAGAGACCGAUAGCGAACAAGUACCGUGAGGGAAAGAUGCAAAGAACUUUGGAAAGAGAGUUAAACAGUAUGUGAAAUUGCCAGAAGGGAAGGGUAGGAAGUCAGAGAUGCGGAGCCGUAGCUCAGCGGGCUGUUUGUAGUGGGCAGCCGGUGCAGGCUAGGGCUCUGCAGGCCAACGUCGGUUCUGUGGCGCGGGAAAGCGGGGUCGGGAAAUGUGGCAUUUCUUCGGAAGUGUGAUUAUAGACCGGCCUUUUGAGUCUGGACCAGCGACGGGAGCCGUGGUUUCGCAGCAUGAUGCUUCUGCGCUCUGGGCGAGGGCGUGAAAACCUUUUUCCGGAGCGCGGGCGGUGUUAGGUCUUCGGGCACUAUUCAUGCUGAUGGCGUUGGCUUAAUGGCCGUCUACCACCCG